CGUUCAGUGGGGUAGUCGGUAGUACAUCAGUUUAACACACUGAUGAUCCUAGGUUCGAAUCUAGGUAAAAUCC
Tuber borchii (whitish truffle) is the source of this 73-nucleotide non-coding RNA. Lineage: Eukaryota; Fungi; Ascomycota; Pezizomycetes; Pezizales; Tuberaceae. The record is from the annotation of a GenBank genome assembly.